Molecule: RNA transcript, 484 nt
Organism: Octopus sinensis (East Asian common octopus)
Lineage: Eukaryota; Metazoa; Mollusca; Cephalopoda; Octopoda; Octopodidae
Exons: 3
Source: RefSeq, a predicted model, not a curated record
UACUUCCUCUCAUAUUGUAUCUUUUUGUUUCAGGCUAUGGACGUAACAGUGGAUUUCCGCAAAAUUUCAAAACUGGUAUCAGUGAAUGCUCAUCACCACACUUGACCAGUAAUAAAGAACCUUCUGUAGUUCAAGAUCAGUUUAAAUGGACUAUUUACAAUGCUACUGUUAAUCUACCAGCUGUUUUGAAUGAUCCACGAUUAGCUAAAAGAGAAACAGACUUUUUCACAAAAACUUGGGGGGAAUCAUUUGAGAAAAGGGAUAUUUCUCCUUCUCCUUAUUUACCUGAAGUGAAUCGAUCUCAUUUUGAAAAGUAUCUAAAUAAGUCAUCUGAGAAAUACAAAACACAUCUUCUGAAUUUAGAUCAAACAUCCAAACAGCAAGUUCCUGAUGCCAUAUAUUCAAAUUCAUUGAGACACAUUAAACAUUUAGAAAAGAAUCGUGCUGAAUUGGACCAGGUACCGAAGGUAAGAAAAACACACUU